Molecule: ribosomal RNA, 492 nt
Filed under: uncultured bacterium
Lineage: Bacteria
Description: partial 16S ribosomal RNA
Rfam family: Bacterial small subunit ribosomal RNA
Source: RNAcentral
AGUGAACGCUGGCGGUAGGCCUAACACAUGCAAGUCGAACGGCAGCACAGUAAGAGCUUGCUCUUACGGGUGGCGAGUGGCGGACGGGUGAGGAAUACAUCGGAAUCUACUUUUUCGUGGGGGAUAACGUAGGGAAACUUACGCUAAUACCGCAUACGACCUACGGGUGAAAGCAGGGGAUCUUCGGACCUUGCGCGAUUGAAUGAGCCGAUGUCGGAUUAGCUAGUUGGCGGGGUAAAGGCCCACCAAGGCGACGAUCCGUAGCUGGUCUGAGAGGAUGAGCAUCCACACUUGAACUGAGACACGGUCCAGACUCCUACGGGAGGCAGCAUUGGGGAAUAUUGGACAAUGGGCGCAAGCCUGAUCCAGCCAUACCGCGUGGGUGAAGAAGGCCUUCGGGUUGUAAAGCCCUUUUGUUGGGAAAGAAAAGCAGCAGGUUAAUACCCCGCUGUUCUGACGGUACCCAAAGAAUAAGCACCGGCUAACUUCGUG